RNAcentral lists this ribosomal RNA (477 nucleotides) under uncultured bacterium. RNAcentral describes it as "partial 16S ribosomal RNA". It matches the Rfam family "Bacterial small subunit ribosomal RNA", at positions 28 to 507 of the family's 1533-position model. The record is from RNAcentral.
GAUUAACGCUGGCGGCGUGCAUAACACAUGCGAGUCGAACGAUGAAACUUAAAUGAUUUCUUCGGAAUGAACUUAAGUGGAUUAGUGGCGGACGGGUGAGUAACGCGUGAGUAACCUGCCUUACACAAGGGGAUAGCCGUUGGAAACGACGAAUAAUACCCUAUGAAACUAUCACUUCGCAUGAAGCGAUAGUCGAAGUGUUAGCGGUGUAAGAUGGACUUGCGUCUGAUUAGCUAGUUGGUGAGAAAAAAGCCCACCAAGGCAACGAUCAGUAGCCGGCUUGAGACACUGUCCGGCCACAUUGGGACUGAGACACGGCCCAGACUCCUACGGGAGGCAACAGUGGGGAAUUGUGCACAAUGGGGGAAACCCUGAUUCUGCGACGCCGCGUGCUUUGGUAGGCCUGCGGGUUGUAAAAAUCUUUUGUAUAGGAAGAAAAUGACAGUACUAUACGAGUAAGGUCCGGCUAAUUACGUG